This 72-nucleotide transfer RNA is filed under the name Camelus ferus (Wild Bactrian camel). It matches the Rfam family "tRNA". From Rfam's summary of the family: Transfer RNA (tRNA) molecules are approximately 80 nucleotides in length. Their secondary structure includes four short double-helical elements and three loops (D, anti-codon, and T loops). Further hydrogen bonds mediate the characteristic L-shaped molecular structure. tRNAs have two regions of fundamental functional importance: the anti-codon, which is responsible for specific mRNA codon recognition, and the 3' end, to which the tRNAs corresponding amino acid is attached (by aminoacyl-tRNA synthetases). tRNAs cope with the degeneracy of the genetic code in two manners: having more than one tRNA (with a specific anti-codon) for a particular amino acid; and 'wobble' base-pairing, i.e. permitting non-standard base-pairing at the 3rd anti-codon position. The record is from Rfam by way of RNAcentral. Lineage: Eukaryota; Metazoa; Chordata; Mammalia; Artiodactyla; Camelidae.
GAUGGUAUAGCCCAGUGGUAGAGCUCAUGCUUAGCAUGCAUGAGGUCCUGGGUUCAAUCCCCAGUACCUCCA